CCUACGGGUGGCAGCAGUGAGGAAUAUUGGUCAAUGGGCGGGAGCCUGAACCAGCCAAGUCGCGUGAGGGACGACGGUCCUAUGGAUUGUAAACCUCUUUUGUCGGGGAACAAAGGCGCCCACGGGUGGGCGGAUGAGUGUACCCGAAGAAAAAGCAUCGGCAAACUCCGUGCCAGCAGCCGCGGUAAUACGGGGGAUGCGAGCUGUAACCGGAUUUAGUGGGUUUAAAGGGUGCGUAGGCGGACAGUCAAGUCAGCGGUAAAAAUGCGGUGCUCAACGCCGUACAGCCGUUGAAAUUGGCAGUAUGGAGUGGGCGAGAAAUAUGCGGAAUGCGUGGUGUAGCGGUGAAAUGCAUAGAUAUCACGCAGAACUCCGAUUGCGAAGGCAGCAUACCGGCGCCCGACUGACGCUGAGGAACGAAAGCGUGGGUAUCGAACAGGAUUAGAUACCCGUGUAGUC
Molecule: ribosomal RNA, 459 nt
Filed under: uncultured bacterium
Lineage: Bacteria
Description: partial 16S ribosomal RNA
Rfam family: Bacterial small subunit ribosomal RNA
Source: RNAcentral